This 433-nucleotide ribosomal RNA is filed under the name uncultured bacterium. RNAcentral's name for it is "partial 16S ribosomal RNA". It matches the Rfam family "Bacterial small subunit ribosomal RNA", at positions 29 to 507 of the family's 1533-position model. The record is from RNAcentral.
AACGAACGCUGGCGGCAUGCCUAACACAUGCAAGUCGAACGAGACCUUCGGGUCUAGUGGCGCACGGGUGCGUAACGCGUUGGAACCUGCCCUUAGGUUCGGAAUAACUCCCCGAAAGGGGUGCUAAUACCGGAUAAUGUCUUCGGACCAAAGAUUUAUCGCCUUUGGAUGGGCCCGCGUUUGAUUAGCUAGUUGGUAGGGUAAAAGCCUACCAAGGAGACGAUCCAUAGCUGGUCUGAGAGGAUGAUCAGCCACACUGGGACUGAGACACGGCCCAGACUCCUACGGGAGGCAGCAGUGGGGAAUAUUGGACAAUGGGCGAAAGCCUGAUCCAGCAAUGCCGCGUGAGUGAUGAAGGCCUUAGGGUUGUAAAGCUCUUUUACCCGGGAUGAUAAUGACAGUACCGGGAGAAUAAGCUCCGGCUAACUCCGUG